Molecule: ribosomal RNA, 796 nt
Filed under: uncultured bacterium
Lineage: Bacteria
Description: bacterial SSU rRNA
Rfam family: Bacterial small subunit ribosomal RNA
Source: RNAcentral
AGUCGACGAAACUUCUUUAUCACCGAGUGCUUGCACUCACCGAUAAACAGUUGAGUGGCGAACGGGUGAGUAACACGUGGGCAACCUGCCCAAAAGAGGGGGAUAACACUUGGAAACAGGUGCUAAUACCGCAUAACCAUAGUUACCGCAUGGUAACUAUGUAAAAGGUGGCUAUGCUACCGCUUUUGGAUGGGCCCGCGGCGCAUUAGCUAGUUGGUGGGGUAAAGGCUUACCAAGGCAAUGAUGCGUAGCCGAACUGAGAGGUUGAUCGGCCACAUUGGGACUGAGACACGGCCCAAACUCCUACGGGAGGCAGCAGUAGGGAAUCUUCCACAAUGGGCGAAAGCCUGAUGGAGCAACGCCGCGUGGGUGAAGAAGGUCUUCGGAUCGUAAAACCCUGUUGUUAGAGAAGAAAGUGCGUGAGAGUAACUGUUCACGUUUCGACGGUAUCUAACCAGAAAGCCACGGCUAACUACGUGCCAGCAGCCGCGGUAAUACGUAGGUGGCAAGCGUUAUCCGGAUUUAUUGGGCGUAAAGGGAACGCAGGCGGUCUUUUAAGUCUGAUGUGAAAGCCUUCGGCUUAACCGGAGUAGUGCAUUGGAAACUGGGAGACUUGAGUGCAGAAGAGGAGAGUGGAACUCCAUGUGUAGCGGUGAAAUGCGCAGAUAUAUGGAAGAACACCAGUGGCGAAAGCGGCUCUCUGGUCUGUAACUGACGCUGAGGUUCGAAAGCGUGGGUAGCAAACAGGAUUAGAUACCCUGGUAGUCCACGCCGUAAACGAUGAAUGCUAAGUGUU